Molecule: ribosomal RNA, 495 nt
Filed under: uncultured bacterium
Lineage: Bacteria
Description: partial 16S ribosomal RNA
Rfam family: Bacterial small subunit ribosomal RNA
Source: RNAcentral
GAUGAACGCUGGCGGCGUGCUUAACACAUGCAAGUUGAGCGAAGCGAUUUUAAGGAAGCCUUCGGGUGGAAUUAAGAUUGACUUAGCGGCGGACGGGUGAGUAACGCGUGGGUAACCUGCCUCAUACAGGGGGAUAACAGUUAGAAAUGACUGCUAAUACCGCAUAAGCGCACAGUGUUGCAUAGCACAGUGUGAAAAACUCCGGUGGUAUGAGAUGGACCCGCGUCUGAUUAGGUAGUUGGUGAGGUAACGGCCCACCAAGCCGACGAUCAGUAGCCGACCUGGGGGGGUGACCGGCCACAUUGGGACUGAGACACGGCCCAAACUCCUACGGGAGGCAGCAGUAGGGAAUAUUGGACAAUGGGGGAAACCCCGAUCCAGCGACGCCGCGUGACUGAAGAAGUAUUUCGGUAUGUAAAGGUCUAUCAGCAGGGAAGAAAAUGACGGUGCCUGACUAAGAAGCCCCGGCUAACUACGUGCCAGCCGCCGCCGUAA